RNAcentral lists this ribosomal RNA (292 nucleotides) under uncultured bacterium. Its description in RNAcentral is "partial 16S ribosomal RNA". It matches the Rfam family "Bacterial small subunit ribosomal RNA", at positions 505 to 796 of the family's 1533-position model. The record is from RNAcentral.
GUGUCAGCAGCCGCGGUAAUACAGAGGGUGCGAGCGUUAAUCGGAAUUACUGGGCGUAAAGGGUGCGUAGGUGGUUAUGUAAGUUAGAUGUGAAAUUCCUGGGCUUAACCUGGGGACUGCGUCUGAUACUGCAAAGCUAGAGUACUGUAGAGGGAAGUGGAAUUUCCGGUGUAGCAGUGAAAUGCGUAGAUAUCGGAAGGAACAUCAGUGGCGAAGGCGACUUCCUGGACAGAUACUGACACUGAGGCACGAAAGCGUGGGGAGCAAACAGGAUUAGAAACCCUGGUAGUCC